CUGACUGCCACUAAGGAAAGAUUUCUCUCUGGAGAUUGCUCCUCUUGGACCUUUUUCUGUGAGCCUAGGACCCAGGUUGCACUUACUGUCAGUAGCAGACUUAAGCUUUUUUUUAAACGCUGAAUCCCAAGUGCAGCGGAAGUCAAGGCUGUGAGGUUAGGAUAACUGGCUAACCGUUACCUCUGAGGAUCAGCAAGAGGCUGCUGGGUUUCCUGCAUGGAAACUCUACAGAAAAAAUAACAUGGAUUUGGGCCUGAUGAAAGAAGAAAAAGACCAGAUUUCUAGAACAAUACGAAAGAGCAAUGGAAUAGUAGUAAGUUUCCAGAGGGCAUUUAUUUGAAAACAGCUGGCCCAGAAUUGAGUAAAAUGAAGGUCCUUCAUGCUGCAGAUGGGCACCAAAUCCAAGUACUGCAGCUGAGAGGAGUGAUGUGAAAGAAAGAGUAGCAGUAAAACCAUGGAAAGUGAUACAGCCUUCUUUGUCUUUUUGCUGGUCCCUUCCGAUUCUGCGAUUUAUGUCUCUGCUGGGAAACCUGUAAAUGAAUGAAGCCAUUUGUGGGGAUAAGCAAAUCUGUGACAUUCAACAGCUGGACACAGACGAAUGGAAGAGUAAUAAAGACUUCUUUGUGAAUUGAA
Lagopus muta (rock ptarmigan) is the source of this 633-nucleotide long non-coding RNA. RefSeq lists it as uncharacterized. The record is from RefSeq and is a predicted model, not a curated record. The transcript is spliced from 5 exons. Lineage: Eukaryota; Metazoa; Chordata; Aves; Galliformes; Phasianidae.